GUACGUUAUAGGUAGGUGGAAUUAUUUUGUCAACAAUGAAUCAGGCUUUGCUGCAAGCAAAGGAAUGAUAGUGUUGUCUUGAAAAGCUACUACAGCUUGAGAAGGAAAAGGGUAUAUUCGUCCGUUUCAUGAUUGGUGACAUCACAUGCCUCUCUUUUAUUUUGUUUUUUUUUUAAUAAUUUAUUGCCAAGAACACAUGAGAGAACCUUGUCUUCAUAAAGAAAUCAGACAUGAAACGGACAAAAUACCCUUUUCAAGGAAACCAUUCAUGAACCUUACGAAAAUACUUGAGUUUCUUUUAGUAUUUAUUGCCAAUAACACAGGAGAGAACAUUGCUGCUGAACUGGGCACCGUUUGAAGUUACUUGCGCAAAUUGAAAAGACGAAUUUUGUACCGCUUCAAACCCAAGAUCCAUGGCUGAACAAUUUACAACAAUGUCAUGCAAAUGGUUUGCCAUCCUCAUGGGUCAAUAAAAGAUUCUUUUUGUUCCACCACCAGCAAGAGAUCCAAGAUUGUUUUUUUGACUUUUGUUUCGUUUACGUAUGGAUUGACUUAGAAAUUGUUGUUUGCUUUACUUAUGAAUUGAUUUUGAAAUGGUUGUUUGAUAUUGUGUUGGCUGCUUCA
Helianthus annuus (common sunflower) is the source of this 624-nucleotide long non-coding RNA. RefSeq lists it as uncharacterized. The transcript is spliced from 2 exons. The record is from RefSeq and is a predicted model, not a curated record. Lineage: Eukaryota; Viridiplantae; Streptophyta; Magnoliopsida; Asterales; Asteraceae.